AACCGCCGUAUGCGGAGCCGCACGUACGGUGGUGUGGGCGGGCUGAGGGGGUAACUCCUCACCCGACCCGAU
Molecule: non-coding RNA, 72 nt
Organism: Pandoraea thiooxydans
Lineage: Bacteria; Pseudomonadati; Pseudomonadota; Betaproteobacteria; Burkholderiales; Burkholderiaceae
Source: Rfam